Molecule: long non-coding RNA, 1350 nt
Filed under: Mytilus galloprovincialis (Mediterranean mussel)
Lineage: Eukaryota; Metazoa; Mollusca; Bivalvia; Mytilida; Mytilidae
Source: RNAcentral
ACUUUUCAACAUUAAUUCAUAAAUAAUAAAAUAUUAUAAUAAACUUUGAUUUACAAAGGAACUAUAUACAAGUGUAUAUCUAAAAUAAAAGGGUUGUUCGACCAAUAUUUUUCUCAAUUUAACCCUUUUCGUGCGGGGGCCGUACUAUUACGGCCAUACCCAGAUCACCGUUAUUUUGGCUUCAAUGGCGCUCCAUACAUUUAGAGGUCAUCUUAAUGCCAUGAAAACGAACUUCAAAAUUUGAGAUCGGACAAAAUUGGGUUUUUUGAGGGGUGGGCUUACCUUCAAGGUCUGAAACACAGAGUUAAGAAGACUGAAACCUUGACAAAUACUGUUAACCUAAAGGCAUAUAACGACUGAUCGUGUUUAUAAUUAAAUUACGCCGAGGAAACGUCUACUUCCGGUUGCAAGUCCAGUUAAAGUUCAAAAUUGGAAAAAAUCGAAAAUUUGGUGAAUUUUGGUGCAAAUGACCUUCUUUACACUGAUGAACCCAGAUCAGUUUCACUCCGACCUAACAACGAUUGUGAUAAAAGUGUUCACUAGUGUACACCCUACAUGAAAACUACAGAUGGAUGCAUCUGGUAGCAUGAUCUGUCGGGCUUACAGGUCGAGAAAAAGAACGAAAAAACGUCAAAAUUGACGCUUUUUGCACCCGAAGACCAAAUUCCCUCCCACCCUUCCCCGCCUCCUCACCCCGUGAUCCCCUAUCUUAGAUUUCUUGCAAUCAGUAUGCAUCAGCAAUCAGGGUACAGCUCAUUUGCAUAUUUUUGCAAAUACUCGAAAUUUAGACAAUUUCUGAAAACAACUCAGCAUGUAUUUAGGGUUAAGGACAAAAAACAAGUCAAAAGUUGGUAGUUGAUGAUUAAAAUGAUGUUUAAAGUUUCUGCAAGUCAUAAAAACACAUAAUUAGUUUCCUGAUAUAUAUAUGUCUUCGACUUAGCGUUCUACACCAUCUAAAACUUCACAUAUAUCCAGCAUGGCCAAAAUCAAAAGUCGUAUUGGCUAUUUAACCACGAAAGUGAGGUCAAGGUCAGGUGAUACCUGCUAGAUCGAUAAAUUACUUAUAGUACUUGAAAACCAGACCUGGAAUGAGAUCAAGGUCAUAUAAAACCAGAGGCUAAUAGAACAAAACAGAACAGAACAUAUUUUAUUUUCAAUUAAGGGCCCACAAGGGGCAUACAGAGCAUACAUGAACAACAGCAUUAAGGACCUGAUUGUCUUCACAGUUUAAUAAUGCUGAUUAUCAAGUAUAGAAAAAAUUGGAAUUCUUUGGCAAACAAAGUCAAAGAGAGCAUCUCUAUCUGAUUUAAAAUUUGCACAGUUAGUUAAAAAAUGGAUUUCAUCUUCAAC